Molecule: ribosomal RNA, 302 nt
Filed under: uncultured bacterium
Lineage: Bacteria
Description: bacterial SSU rRNA
Rfam family: Bacterial small subunit ribosomal RNA
Source: RNAcentral
AUUGAACGCUGGCGGCAGGCCUAACACAUGCAAGUCGAGCGUGAAACUUCCUUCGGGGAGGAGUAAAGCGGCGGACGGGUGAGUAACGCGUAGGAAUCUGCCCAAAAGAGGGGGAUAACUUGGGGAAACCCAAGCUAAUACCGCAUAUACCUAAGGGUGAAAGGUGGGGAUCUUCGGACCUACCGCUUUUGGAGGAGCCUGCGUCGGAUUAGCUAGUUGGUGGGGUAAAGGCCUACCAAGGCGACGAUCCGUAGCUGGUCUGAGAGGAUGGCCAGCCACACUGGGACUGAGACACGGCCCAG